GCCGUUGGAUUGGCCCGCCAAGUGGCCUAUGGGAUAGAGUGACUUGGCCUGUAAGCAGAGUCUGAACCUGAGCGGCGAUGGUUCGAUUCCCAUGCCUGCCAUCUGCAUACGCUCUGUACUCUUCUCAGUACACCUUCAGCCAGCUUAAUCUGGCAAGUCUGUAGAGCUCCAGACUUGCCAGCCUAACCUGGCGAGUCUGUAGAGCUCCAGACUCACUCUGCCUUUUUAACCUUUUCUUCAAAUCCCUCCUUAACUUUUGCCUGGAAACAGGGCAAUUUUUCACACACAACAUGGCUUCAAUCUCUCAACAAACGCUCCCAACUCACUCAAUUUCCGCUCCAUCCACACAAUUUACACAUCAAAACAUAGCGAUUUUCCUCACUGUCAUUAGUUCGUUUUCCUUAGUAGAUAGUUUUCCAGUUACACAAGGUUUUGUAACACCUCAGCUUUUUUGCCUCUUUUCAGCAGUCCAUUUGCAGCUACACCAGUCACUACUUUACAUCCUUUCUUUUUUUGGUGGAUAUACCAGUGCUUACAGCCAAAAUAUCCCGCUUGUCGGAGCUGCACGUUGCACUUUUGGAGCCAUCACUUCAGGCUCCCGUACAGUUUUUAGGUAGGCAGACCGAUCCAGUUUAUCUGCUAAUGGGUUUACCUCGACUGACUACUCGGUCAAUUAAGAGUCCACAUUAAUAUCAACAGCUACAUCCACCCCGGGGAAACUGGUGAGGGAGAACAUCAGGACCAAGCUGGGUUUCCUUGGUCCAGAGGUCUGGAGAAACUUCUUCCCUUUCUUUCAUCACAGCUGUCUUGUGCCAGAUGUUCUAUUGACCCACUGAAAGAGGCUUAAUUUUAGAAACAUCAGGAAGACUGAAGCUCAUCGCAGGAAUCAAGGAGGACCUCGAGAUCUUCACCACCAGCUCCCUCACAAGGAAAUCUUCCGAAGUCCACUGUAGGCACGGCCCAGAAGAUGGAUAAACCCAGCAUUUCAUGAACACACUGGAACCAAUCUAUCUUCAUAACAUGUCAAAUGUCAAACAGCUGGAAAGGAAACUACACCAGUGCACUGGGAUGUUUCCCCAACUCGUGCCAGACGCUGUUCCUGCCUGUGAAGGUAACAUCAGCAGAGACAGCCCGCCUACCUCAGGACCUCGCCAAGUCACGUAUUGAUCACGAUGGUUAUGAAGAUGACAGCGAGCGGAAGACUGUAAAAAUCCACCACCAGAAUGUUUAGAUGCUUUCUAAUUAUUAAUGAAUAUCGUGUUUGUGUGUUUUGGGUUUUGUUUUUUUGGCCUCAUUUGUUACUAACAAAGGUCACCAAGCUCAGUUUACAUUCUGUAUGUGUUUUCAUCUUUAGCAGCCACACUCUGACUGCAAUUAAGAAAAACACAAACUUUUAAAUAUUGAAGGGGUUCAGGUAGAGCCGGCUUAUGAAUUACUAUGAACACUUACCAUACUGUACCUGUACAACAUGUUUUUGUAUGAGACAGAUUUGUAACAGAGGCCUUAGUCUCAGUAAGUUUGAAGUCCUUUCCUGAUUUAUUUUGCAAUCUCUGCUCUUUCAUUGAUGAUAAUUCAGUGCUGCUUCCCUUUGUCCCCUCCUGCAUCACUUUGUUAAAUUUUUCAGUGUCCAGUUUUUUUUUUAUUUCUGUUUGAGUUCAUCGUGUGCUUGACCCUGCAGACUGUUUGAUGGGCUCCUUGUCUUGUAACCGCUGCCUGUUUUUGACCAAAGAUUUGGACUUUUGACUUUAAUUCAGCCUCUGCAUGUCCUCCCUUUGUGUCCUCUGUGAAUGUGUUCCAUGUGUCACAAAUGUUUUCAUUUUAAUAACACAGCUUUCCCACAGUGGGUUGCAGCAGCAUUUGUUCACAGCACAUUCGAGAAAGUUGAUUCAGAUGACUACAGUGAUAUUAAAGUCAGAUUUAUCCUGA
Oreochromis niloticus (Nile tilapia) is the source of this 1926-nucleotide long non-coding RNA. RefSeq lists it as uncharacterized. The transcript has 4 exons. Lineage: Eukaryota; Metazoa; Chordata; Actinopteri; Cichliformes; Cichlidae. The record is from RefSeq and is a predicted model, not a curated record.